This 433-nucleotide ribosomal RNA is filed under the name uncultured bacterium. RNAcentral describes it as "partial 16S ribosomal RNA". It matches the Rfam family "Bacterial small subunit ribosomal RNA", at positions 29 to 507 of the family's 1533-position model. The record is from RNAcentral.
AACGAACGCUGGCGGCAUGCCUAACACAUGCAAGUCGAACGAGACCUCCGGGUCUAGUGGCGCACGGGUGCGUAACGCGUGGGAACCUGCCCUUAGGUUCGGAAUACCUCCCCGAAAGGGGUGCUAAUACCGGAUAAUGUCUUCGGACCAAAGAUUUAUCGCCUUUGGAUGGGCCCGCGUUGGAUUAGCUAGUUGGUAGGGUAAAAGCCUACCAAGGCGUCGAUGCAUAGCUGGUCUGAGAGGAUGAUCAGCCACACUGGGACUGAGACACGGCCCAGACUCCUACGGAAGGGAGCAGUGGGGAAUAUUGGACAAUGGGCGAAGGCCUGAUCCAGCAAUGCCGGGUGAGUGAUGAAGGCCGUAGGGUUGUAAAGCUCUUUUACCCGGGAUGAUAAUGACAGUACCGGGAGAAUAAGCACCGGCUAACUCCGUG